RNAcentral lists this ribosomal RNA (786 nucleotides) under Hemipsilichthys gobio. RNAcentral's name for it is "partial 12S ribosomal RNA". It matches the Rfam family "Bacterial small subunit ribosomal RNA", at positions 312 to 1407 of the family's 1533-position model. Lineage: Eukaryota; Metazoa; Chordata; Actinopteri; Siluriformes; Loricariidae. The record is from RNAcentral.
UGAGAAUGCCCUCAAUCCCCCGCCCGGGGACGAGGAGCUGGUAUCAGGCACAAUGUUUAGCCCAAGACACCUUGCUUCGCCACACCCCCAAGGGAACUCAGCAGUAAUAAAUAUUAAGCCAUAAGUGUAAACUUGACUUAGUUAGGGUUAAAAGGGUCGGUAAAAUUCGUGCCAGCCACCGCGGUUAUACGAAAGACCCUAGUUGAUAACUAUCGGCGUAAAGGGUGGUUAAAGAGUAUGUAAAAAUAAAGCCAAAAACCUCCUAAGCCGUCAUACGCUCCCCGGAAAUACGAAGCCCAAAUACGAAAGUAGCUUUACCUAACUACUCCUGACCCCACGAAAGCUAAGAAACAAACUGGGAUUAGAUACCCCACUAUGCUUAGCCUUAAACCUAGAUGUAAUUUUACAAAACCAUCCGCCAGGGUACUACGAGCAUAGCUUAAAACCCAAAGGACUUGGCGGUGCCUCAGAUCCACCUAGAGGAGCCUGUUCUAGAACCGAUAAUCCCCGUUAAACCUCACCACCUCUUGUUUACCCCGCCUAUAUACCGCCGUCGUCAGCUUACCCUGUGAAGGCUUAACAGUAAGCAAAAUGAGUUAACCCCAAAACGUCAGGUCGAGGUGUAGCGUACGAGGUGGGAAGAAAUGGGCUACAUUUUCUACCACAGAACAUUACGAAUAGCGCACUGAAAUAUACGCCUGAAGGCGGAUUUAGUAGUAAAAAGCAAAUAGAAUAUCCUUUUGAACUAGGCUCUGAGGCGCGCACACACCGCCCGUCACUCUCCCC